This 231-nucleotide non-coding RNA is filed under the name Saccharomonospora xinjiangensis. The record is from RNAcentral. Lineage: Bacteria; Bacillati; Actinomycetota; Actinomycetes; Pseudonocardiales; Pseudonocardiaceae.
UAAGGUGGCUGCGCAGUGGGUUCGCCCCGUCCUUUCCGGCCGGGGCGUCGCAAGAGGGAACCCGGUGGGAAUCCGGGACUGCCCCGCAGCGGUGAGUGGGAACGACCGCCGUCAUCGAGCACUGGGCCACGUGUGGCCUGGGAAGCGACGGCCAGUAGGUGCCAUCCCGUCCCGGCCAGGGACGGUGGCGUGCCCGCGAGUCCGAAGACCUGCCUACUGCCCGUGCGCCGU